AGCUUUCCAAGUGCAUAAAAUGAUUGUUGUGGUUAAAAAGCUCGUAGUUGGAUUAUAAAGAUUGUGUAAUGAGCAUCUUGGAUGUUUAUAUUUCAUUACCAUCUUAUUAUUUUUAUUAUAUUAGUAAUAAUAUAAUAACUGUUACUUUGAAUAAAUCAGAGGGUUUAAACCAGGUAUUUAUAAUGCUUGUAUGGUCUAGCAUGGAAUAACACUAUAGAAAAAGUUAGUGUGGUUUCACUAAUCUUUUUCAUGAUUAAUAGGAACAAACGGGGGCAUUCGUAUCGCUACGUUAGAGGUGAAAUUCUUGGACCGUAGCGAGACGUCCUACUGCGAAAGCAUUUGCCAAGAAUGUUUUCA
RNAcentral lists this ribosomal RNA (357 nucleotides) under uncultured eukaryote. RNAcentral's name for it is "SSU rRNA". It matches the Rfam family "Eukaryotic small subunit ribosomal RNA", at positions 587 to 972 of the family's 1831-position model. The record is from RNAcentral.